AGUUUUUCUCUCUGUUCUCCCUAAAAAAUUCAUCCCAUCGCCAAAAUUUCAUCCCCGAAAAUUUCAUCCCACCGCCAAAAAAUUCAUCCCAAAAAUUUCAUCACCCUCUCAAAUCUCUAACCCCCUCCACACCGCACCCUCUCUAAGUCCCCAAAAAUUUCAUCACCGUUCACCCUCAUCUUCUCCGGCCAAACGUAUCCCUUCCACCUCCCUCAUCUUCGCCGACGCUCUCUUCGUUGUCAUCUCCUUCGACCGAGUAACGCCCCACUUCUCCUCCUACUUGACCCCUAGUCGUCCUCAUCUCCAGGCCCUAGCCUUCUCCCAAGUUCCCAACUUUCGACCUCCCCUCUCGGUUCUCGCCUUCAGCAGCUCAGCUCCUCUCCUCAAGCUCCGAUCGGCGAUCUCCAUCAGUCCAUCUCGAUCUCUCCAAAAAACCCUAACCCUAACCUAGAUUUCACCCAAUCGCCGGCCUCUCCUCCUCCUCGUUCAGACCCAAAGCAAUCUCGAUCCACCGACGUUGCGGAUCCAACCCGGUGCAUCCGAGACGGAGGUCAAGAGGGGUUUUUGGCAGCUCGCUCUUUAGGCAUUGAGUGUGAGUGUGAGGAAGCAGAUGCUGGAUGGGGCGACGAGAAAUUUGAAUAGGAUAGCACAUGAGAUUGAUAGGAAGGUUCAAGGCCACUGAUGCUAGCAGAUUGCGUGCUGAAUAUAACCGCCUGGUUGAGGGUUUGGCGCAGAAAGGAAAUUUGCCUACUCAGUUGUCAUGAUGUCUCUCUUGCCAUGAAGGCUGUUUUUGAUCGGUUCCAAUCUGUUAUAAUUACUUCUGGAACUCUGAGCCUGAUCGAUCUGUAUCCUCGAUUGUUAAAUUUCAGUCCUGUGAUUAGUCGGAGUUUUACAAUGUCUUUGACCAGAGACUGUAUAUGCCCCAUGGUUCUUACUCGCGGAAGGUAUUGAUUGAUCAAAGCUUGAUUGAUCAAAGCAAACAAUCUUAUGUAGACUAUAAGUUUAUACAGUUGCACAGUCCUAUUCUUGCUCAUAUAUAUGAGGCUUCAAUAUCUCUUAUGAAGGUGACCGAAGAGAUGAAGAAUGAGCAAUAGCACUUGAAAAGUAUGUUAAGACUAUGGAUUCUUUGACACUGAAGUUUCUGUUUUUCUUUGACCGAGUUUAGUUGGCCUGGACUUUUAGACAAGGUGGAGCUGGUGAUGAGGAUGAUGAUGAUCAGGAGCCCUGAUUUGUUUUUUUUACCUUAAUUUGAAAACAAUGAGUGUGUGCUGUAUAAACAAUAUUUAUC
Asparagus officinalis (garden asparagus) is the source of this 1288-nucleotide long non-coding RNA. RefSeq lists it as uncharacterized. The transcript is spliced from 6 exons. NCBI's taxonomy places the organism in Eukaryota, Viridiplantae, Streptophyta, Magnoliopsida, Asparagales, Asparagaceae. The record is from RefSeq and is a predicted model, not a curated record.